RNAcentral lists this ribosomal RNA (441 nucleotides) under uncultured bacterium. RNAcentral describes it as "partial 16S ribosomal RNA". It matches the Rfam family "Bacterial small subunit ribosomal RNA", at positions 338 to 795 of the family's 1533-position model. The record is from RNAcentral.
CCUACGGGAGGCAGCAGUGGGGAAUAUUGCACAAUGGGGGGAACCCUGAUGCAGCGACGCCGCGUGGGUGAAGGAGUAUUUCGGUAUGUAAAGCCCUAUCGGCAGGGAAGCACAAUGCCGGUACCUGACUAAGACGCACCGGCUAAAUACGUGCCAGCAGCCGCGGUAAUACGUAGGGUGCACGCGUUAUCCGGAUUUACUGGGGGUAAAGGGAGCGCAGGCGGCGAUGCAAGCCAGGAGUGAAAGCCCGGGGCCCAACCCCGGGACUGCUCUUGGAACUGCGUGGCUGGAGUGCAGGAGGGGCAGGCGGAAUUCCUGGUGUAGCGGUGAAAUGCGUAGAUAUCAGGAGGAACACCGGUGGCGAAGGCGGCCUGCUGGACUGCAACUGACGUUGAGGCCCGAAAGCGUGGGGAGCAAACAGGAUUAGAUACCCGUGUAGUC